Molecule: unclassified non-coding RNA, 229 nt
Filed under: plant metagenome
Description: partial contains small subunit ribosomal RNA, internal transcribed spacer 1, and 5.8S ribosomal RNA
Source: RNAcentral
UCUCCGUAGGUGAACCUGCGGAGGGAUCAUUACGGAGUUCUCGCCCUCGCGGGUAGAUCUCCCACCCACCGUUAUCGUUACUGUGUUGCUUUGGCGGGCCGCCGGGCCCCGCUCGGCCGCCGGCUCCGGCUGGCGCGCGCCCGCCAGAGGCCCAGCAAACUCUGAAUGUUAGUGUCGUCUGAGUACUAUAUAAUAGUUAAAACUUUCAACAACGGAUCUCUUGGUUCUG